GAUGAACGCUGGCGGCGUGCCUAAUACAUGCAAGUCGAGCGAACGGACGAGAAGCUUGCUUCUCUGAUGUUAGCGGCGGACGGGUGAUUAACACGUGGAUAACCUACCUAUAAGACUGGGAUAACUUCGGGAAACCGGAGCUAAUACCGGAUAAUAUUUUGAACCGCAUGGUUCAAAAGUGAAAGACGGUCUUGCUGUCACUUAUAGAUGGAUCCGCGCUGCAUUAGCUAGUUGGUAAGGUAACGGCUUACCAAGGCAACGAUGCAUAGCCGACCUGAGAGGGUGAUCGGCCACACUGGAACUGAGACACGGUCCAGACUCCUACGGGAGGCAGCAGUAGGGAAUCUUCCGCAAUGGGCGAAAGCCUGACGGAGCAACGCCGCGUGAGUGAUGAAGGUCUUCGGAUCGUAAAACUCUGUUAUUAGGGAAGAACAUAUGUGUAAGUAACUGUGCACAUCUUGACGGUACCUAAUCAGAAAGCCACGGCUAACUACGUG
RNAcentral lists this ribosomal RNA (497 nucleotides) under uncultured bacterium. RNAcentral's name for it is "partial 16S ribosomal RNA". It matches the Rfam family "Bacterial small subunit ribosomal RNA", at positions 28 to 507 of the family's 1533-position model. The record is from RNAcentral.